RNAcentral lists this long non-coding RNA (371 nucleotides) under Medicago truncatula (barrel medic). Its description in RNAcentral is "lncRNA gene13223". The record is from RNAcentral. Lineage: Eukaryota; Viridiplantae; Streptophyta; Magnoliopsida; Fabales; Fabaceae.
UGUAGAUCUUUAACAUGUGGAAUUUUUUAACCUGUUUAGUUUGUUAAAAUACGACCUAUGGUCGUUGGAAUUGAAGCUAGACAUUGUCGGCUCUUAAUGUAAAGAAAAAAGAAAGUGAAAGUUGAAGGUUUUGCAAUGAUGAACACUUGUUUGGGUAGCGAUCUCAUGCAUAGAGUUGAAAGUGUUCAUGUUAGAUCAAGCUUUGAUCAAUAUGUGUAACAUAAGUGCUUUUCAGAAUAAGCUGGUUUAAGCAAGAUGAGAAAAUAACAAACAAACUUGUAAGACUGACAGAGAAGAGAAUGGAGAGAGUUUGCUUGUAAUUGUGAAUCUCAUUAAGAAUUGAAUGUACACCUUACAAAGACUUUCAUAGG